UUAUCAAAUACACCUUCAGCAGACUGACGGAUUUUAAGACUUUCACCUAGUUUGUUUAUUGCCAACAACACUCUUUCAACUGAAUUCCACAUGUCAAAAAGUCUAACUAUUGUUGUGUAGUGAGAACCCCAACGUGUAUCACCAGGCCGAGCUAAACUUAUUUCUUGAUUCUGACCUCUUCCAGUUGAAAUCUCACCCAUCUCCACUUGAUUCAACACUUCCUCAUUGUGUAUUUCUCGAAGAUAAUCCUUUCUUUUGCACGAAGCUCCAAUUGUAUUUACUAUCAUUGAC
Molecule: long non-coding RNA, 291 nt
Filed under: Manihot esculenta (cassava)
Lineage: Eukaryota; Viridiplantae; Streptophyta; Magnoliopsida; Malpighiales; Euphorbiaceae
Description: long non-coding RNA (MESC_LNC010211)
Source: RNAcentral